UCUGUGCUUUUCCAGGGUGAUCCUGAGAACAACAUUGAACAGGUAUAAUCUCAUAAGUUAUAAUCAGAGGAAGGAAACGCCUGAGAGAUCUGAAGGUUUUAAUUGUUGUUGAGUGCAGAUGGUUUGGAUUACCGCACAGGAAUGGAGCUCAAGGUCAGUGUCUGUAAUCAGCUGCCUGAAUGUAUGAUUUUAGCUGGACGGCACCAUUUCUGGGUAAGAGCUGUGCAGCUACAUUUAAGCAGCAUUAGUGCCUGGAACACUGGCUGACAGAUUAAAAUGUACGUUUAUCAGAAAUUGAUAGCACAGAUAAACCGAACAUAUUUGUCACAUAAAAUAAGAUCUUGUCAGUGAACUUUAAAAGAAAACAGGAAGUGGAC
RNAcentral lists this long non-coding RNA (377 nucleotides) under Homo sapiens (human). RNAcentral's name for it is "HSALNT0190539". Lineage: Eukaryota; Metazoa; Chordata; Mammalia; Primates; Hominidae. The record is from RNAcentral.